This 29-nucleotide non-coding RNA is filed under the name Mus musculus (house mouse). The record is from RNAcentral. Lineage: Eukaryota; Metazoa; Chordata; Mammalia; Rodentia; Muridae.
UGGAUCUGGGAUNUCACACUGCUUAUGGA